GAAAGGCGAACAGCGAUCCAAUGAUCCUCAAAUAAGUGAGGCAGAAGCUCAAGAAUGGGCGGCUGGUGGUGCCGAAAGUGAGUUACAAAUAUAUGAAGUAUUAACUAAUGAGAUUGUACGCGCGGCAAUGUGUGAGGACGAUGAGCAAGAUAAGAACAAUAACGUUGAAGUUCUCGCCUCCAAAAAAGUUGGUAAUUCAUAGGCAGUAGGAGCAUUUAAUCACUGCUUGGGCUAAAUGGGCUGAAGACAACGAAUUUGGUAACCACGAACUCAUGUUUCCCCAAAUUCUUAGAGACCGGACUUUUAAAAUGAAGUGCAAAAAUUAUAAACA
Molecule: unclassified non-coding RNA, 331 nt
Filed under: Melitaea cinxia (Glanville fritillary)
Lineage: Eukaryota; Metazoa; Arthropoda; Insecta; Lepidoptera; Nymphalidae
Description: misc RNA ENSMCXG00005012216.1
Source: RNAcentral